RNAcentral lists this ribosomal RNA (106 nucleotides) under Octodon degus (degu). The record is from RNAcentral. Lineage: Eukaryota; Metazoa; Chordata; Mammalia; Rodentia; Octodontidae.
GUCUACAACCAUACCACCCUGAUCAUGCCUGAUCUCAUCUGAAGCUAAGCGUGUGGGGCCUAGUUAGUACUUGGAUGGGACACAAAAAAACGGAAGGAGGGGGACG